UGAGAUGCAGCUCAGUGAUAGAGUGCUUGCCUAGCAUAAGCAAGGCCCUGGGCUCAAUCCCAAGCACUGCAG
Molecule: transfer RNA, 72 nt
Filed under: Marmota monax (woodchuck)
Lineage: Eukaryota; Metazoa; Chordata; Mammalia; Rodentia; Sciuridae
Description: tRNA.Ala
Source: RNAcentral